RNAcentral lists this ribosomal RNA (253 nucleotides) under uncultured bacterium. Its description in RNAcentral is "partial 16S ribosomal RNA". It matches the Rfam family "Bacterial small subunit ribosomal RNA", at positions 524 to 776 of the family's 1533-position model. The record is from RNAcentral.
UACGUAGGGAGCAAGCGUUGUCCGGAAUCAUUGGGCGUAAAGCGCGCGUAGGCGGCCCGAUAAGUCCGCUGUAAAAGUCAACGGCUCAACUGUUGAAAGCCGGUGGAUACUGUCGGGCUAGAGUACGGAAGAGGCAAGUGGAAUUCCUGGUGUAGCGGUGGAAUGCGCAGAUAUCAGGAGGAACACCAAUGGCGAAAGCAAGUAUCUGGACUAUUACUGACGCUAAGCUGCGAAAGCUAGGGGAGCAAACAGG